This 625-nucleotide ribosomal RNA is filed under the name Rhizopus arrhizus. Its description in RNAcentral is "LSU rRNA". It matches the Rfam family "Eukaryotic large subunit ribosomal RNA", at positions 194 to 757 of the family's 3401-position model. The record is from RNAcentral. Lineage: Eukaryota; Fungi; Mucoromycota; Mucoromycetes; Mucorales; Rhizopodaceae.
AACAGGGCAUCAUAGAGGGUGAGAAUCCCGUCUUUGGCUUGAGCAUUUGCCUUUUGUGAUACGCUUUCAAAGAGUCAGGUUGUUUGGGAAUGCAGCCUAAAUUGGGUGGUAAAUCUCACCUAAAGCUAAAUAUUGGCGAGAAACCGAUAGCGAACAAGUACCGUGAGGGAAAGAUGAAAAGAACUUUGAAAAGAGAGUUAAACAGUAUGUGAAAUUGUUAAAAGGGAACCGUUUGGAGCCAGACUGGCUUGUCUGUAAUCAAUCUAGGCUUCGGCCUGGAUGCACUUGCAGGCUAUGCCUGCCAACGACAAUUUGACUUGAGGGAAAAAACUAGGGGAAAUGUGGCCCACUUGUGGGUGUUAUAGUCCCUUAGAAAAUACCUUGGGUUGGAUUGAGGAACGCAGCGAAUGCUUAUUGGCGAGUUUUCCAGGAAGGUUUUCUGAGGUACUACGGUAUCAAGGUUGAUCUUUUUGGUUAUACUUCUAUUCGCUUAGGUUGUUGGCUUAAUGACUCUAAAUGACCCGUCUUGAAACACGGACCAAGGAGUCCACCAUUAGUGCGAGUAUUUGGGUGCCAAACCCAUAUGCGUAAGGAAACUGAUUGAUACGAAUCCAUUAAGGAGGCA